RNAcentral lists this ribosomal RNA (505 nucleotides) under uncultured bacterium. Its description in RNAcentral is "partial 16S ribosomal RNA". It matches the Rfam family "Bacterial small subunit ribosomal RNA", at positions 28 to 507 of the family's 1533-position model. The record is from RNAcentral.
GACGAACGCUGGCGGCGUGCCUAAUACAUGCAAGUAGAACGCACAGUUUAUACCGUAGCUUGCUACACCAUAAACUGUGAGUUGCGAACGGGUGAGUAACGCGUAGGUAACCUGCCUGGUAGCGGGGGAUAACUAUUGGAAACGAUAGCUAAUACCGCAUAAUAUUGAUUAUUGCAUGAUAAUUGAUUGAAAGAUGCUAUUGCAUCACUACCAGAUGGACCUGCGUUGUAUUAGCUAGUAGGUGAGGUAACGGCUCACCUAGGCGACGAUACAUAGCCGACCUGAGAGGGUGAGCGGCCACACUGGGACUGAGACACGGCCCAGACUCCUACGGGAGGCAGCAGUAGGGAAUCUUCGGCAAUGGACGAAAGUCUGACCGAGCAACGCCGCGUGAGUGAAGAAGGGUUUCGGAUCGUAAAGCUCUGUUGUAAGAGAAGAACGGGUGUGAGAGUGGAAAGUUCACACUGUGACGGUAUCUUACCAGAAAGGGACGGCUAACUACGUG